ACCUAGUCUGGGAGCAGAAAGGGGAGAGACUGAUGGUUGAAGUCAGAGGGAAGAGAAAAUAGAGUAAGAAAGGGUACAAGCUAGUCAGUGUCCAUGGGAGGACUUGACAUUGGAGCAUGACCUUUAAUGUUUUGAGUACUAAAGGCUUCAGCCCAGAUUUUCCUUUUCCAUCUGAUUAGUGACUAUGAAAACAUGAUUGGGCAUUUCUGCUUCCACUGCCCUCCCAGAUAGUGAAAGUCAAUAAAGAUAUAUUUUUAGAAAGAAAUCAAGAGGUGAGAAAAUAAUGUGGGAGCAGGAUGGAGACACCAUUAUUGCAUCAGUUGAGCAGACCAGCACUAGAAAUGUCUUAAAUGAUAUCUGGAAGGAUAUGGCAAAGGGAGGUGAAAGGUGAUGAGGGAGCCCUGAGAAGGCAGGAGAUGUGGGUGCAAUGUCAGCACUGGUCUGAAGAGAGCUGCUCACAAGUGUGUCAGGGAAGUCAUUCUUUCAGAGGCCUGGGAAGGCUGGAGGCUCUGGGUCACUCUUGGGCUCCCCUGCCCUUGGAAACUUGCCACAGGUCUGGGUUGAGCCUUGCAUUAACUUUUACCAUCUUAAGGAUUGUCACUGGGAGAUGGUCUUGCCCACUCCUGCUGAUUCUGAGCUCCUCUUUCCAUCCCCAUCUCCCUCCAGCCUGACAAUCCCUUUGACCAAGGCUGCUUCACAAAUUGUUACAUCCAGAUGUGUAUGCCACUGGGACCCAAGUACAUGACCGAAGCUGUCAGUCUGCAAAUAGAGCUGGGGACUGAAUGGGAGCCAACAGAGGUACUGAGCUGACUCCUGAGUCCUUGUAUGGGCAUGUGCCACCACACAUGAUAAUUUUAAAAGAGAUGGGAAGGAAGAUUGUUGAAAUUCUUCCCUGUAUUCAUGAGUCUAUGUUAUUUACCUUUCCUCCCUAUAUUUCUGUAGGUCUGAAAUAUUUCAAAUAAAAGUUUUGGUUACAAUGA
Molecule: long non-coding RNA, 980 nt
Organism: Ictidomys tridecemlineatus (thirteen-lined ground squirrel)
Lineage: Eukaryota; Metazoa; Chordata; Mammalia; Rodentia; Sciuridae
Source: RefSeq, a predicted model, not a curated record